CAGAUUGUGUUCUCAAUGUCCAUAGCUGCCGCAGGUGUUUACGGUGGAGGUGUCGCCAUCAAAAACCAUCAGCAAAAACACCACCAAGUCAAUGAUACAAGUAUAAGAGGAAGUUUUGCCAUGCAAUAGUCGACCGCUAACGCCCUUUUCGAUCAAUUUCGUAAGUACGUAUCGAAACAGUCAUAUCGUUGCCAACUAGCUUAAUCCUCAUCUUCUAGGUGUAAAGAGUACUACCAGAGACGCAAGAAAAGCAAGAAUACAAUCCAAAAAGUUUCAGCCUUGACUGUAAAUUAAGUGAAUUCAAUUCAAACACUAAGGAUUGCACUGGCUUAACGGUGGCAAUCAUUCGGAGGCAAAUGGGCUGGCCUGACAAGAAUCCCCUUUAAGUUAAACAAAUUCAGAUCAGUCUCUCGGCGACCACUGACGAUGUCGGCGAGUUGAAUCCAUCGAUUUUCAUACAGAAAAUCAACAUCAAAAACAUCAAGCCAAUUCAGCAGCGUCAUGGCCAACCUGCCUAUUAACCAAACCAUCUCUAUUCGCAGUGGAAGUGUUUGUGGAUCAAGCGAUCUCUGCGUGUCAACAAUGCGAACACAAUGUCAUUAGGCUGGAGUACCAACCUGGACCCUUGUAUUGCAAAAGCGCGCGAAGAUCAGUGUAACUGCGAUGCAGCGGCUACUGCAGCCGCUGAGGCUGACACCGCCUGGAAGAGGUAGGUGAUACGAAUGCCGGUUGAGAAGGAAAUUGUUGGGACAGUAUAGUACCUCCUCAAUGACGGGAGUCUCAAGUCAUUGAAAUCCCUGCAAUUUUAAGAAACUUGAAGACUAACGAAAUGAAGCUGAAUUCCAUGUUUAGAAUUAACUGGAAACGACACAAGAAUGCCCGUACAAACUGCCCUUAUGAUGUUCCAAGAGUUGCUGCGCAAAUGGUCGCGAGCCGGCAACCUUCAUAUAGUGAAAAUAUCGGAUUGGA
This is a long non-coding RNA of Eupeodes corollae, 969 nucleotides long. RefSeq lists it as uncharacterized. Lineage: Eukaryota; Metazoa; Arthropoda; Insecta; Diptera; Syrphidae. The record is from RefSeq and is a predicted model, not a curated record. The transcript has 3 exons.